CCUACGGGCGGCAGCAGUGGGGAAUAUUGGGCAAUGGGCGCAAGCCUGACCCAGCAACGCCGCGUGAAGGAUGAAGGUUUUCGGAUUGUAAACUUCUGUCGCGAGGGACGAAGAAUGACGGUACCUCGUAAGAAACACCCGGCUAACUACGUGCCAGCAGCAGCGGCAAUACGGAGGGGGCAAGCGUUGUCCGGAAGGACUGGGCGUAAAGGGAGCGCAGGUGGCCUUGUAAGUUAGAUGUGAAAUCCUACGGCUUAACCGUAGAACUGCAUCUAAUACUGGGAGGCUGGAGUGCAGUAGAGGUGAGUGGAAUUCCUAGUGUAGCGGUGGAAUGCGUAGAUAUCAGGAGGAAUACCAGAGGCGAAGGCGACUCACUGGACUGUAACUGACGCUGAGGUUCGAAAGCGUGGGGAGCAAACAGGAUUAGAUACCCGUGUAGUC
This 441-nucleotide ribosomal RNA is filed under the name uncultured bacterium. RNAcentral describes it as "partial 16S ribosomal RNA". It matches the Rfam family "Bacterial small subunit ribosomal RNA", at positions 338 to 795 of the family's 1533-position model. The record is from RNAcentral.